AUUAAAACACCGGUUCCCAUACUAUAACCGAACUUAAGCAACAUUGGGCCUGGUCAGUAUCUAGAUGAGUGACCGCUUGGGAUUGUCAAGUGCUGUAAG
Acanthosepion pharaonis is the source of this 99-nucleotide non-coding RNA. The record is from the annotation of a GenBank genome assembly. Lineage: Eukaryota; Metazoa; Mollusca; Cephalopoda; Sepiida; Sepiidae.